RNAcentral lists this non-coding RNA (25 nucleotides) under Rattus norvegicus (Norway rat). The record is from RNAcentral. Lineage: Eukaryota; Metazoa; Chordata; Mammalia; Rodentia; Muridae.
UAUUAUUGAGUUUUCUGGUCUUUGC